AUUGAACGCUGGCGGCAGGCUUAACACAUGCAAGUCGAGCGGGGGAGGUUACUUCGGUAACUGACCUAGCGGCGGACGGGUGAGUAAUGCUUAGGAAUCUGCCUAUUAGUGGGGGACAACAUUCCGAAAGGAAUGCUAAUACCGCAUACGCCCUACGGGGGAAAGCAGGGGAUCUUCGGACCUUGCGCUAAUAGAUGAGCCUAAGUCGGAUUAGCUAGUUGGUGGGGUAAAGGCCUACCAAGGCGACGAUCUGUAGCGGGUCUGAGAGGAAGAUCCGCCACACUGGGACUGAGACACGGCCCAGACUCCUACGGGAGGCAGCAGUGGGGAAUAUUGGACAAUGGGGGGAACCCUGAUCCAGCCAUGCCGCGUGUGUGAAGAAGGCCUUUUGGUUGUAAAGCACUUUAAGCGAGGAGGAGGCUACCGAGAUUAAUACUCUUGGAUAGUGGACGUUACUCGCAGAAUAAGCACCGGCUAACUCUGUGCCAGCAGCCGCCGUAA
RNAcentral lists this ribosomal RNA (501 nucleotides) under uncultured bacterium. RNAcentral describes it as "partial 16S ribosomal RNA". It matches the Rfam family "Bacterial small subunit ribosomal RNA", at positions 30 to 523 of the family's 1533-position model. The record is from RNAcentral.